AAUACAUCGGAACGUGCCUAGUAGUGGGGGAUAACUACUCGAAAGAGUGGCUAAUACCGCAUGGGAUCUACGGAUGAAAGCAGGGGAUCGCAAGACCUUGUGCUACUAGAGCGGCCGAUGGCAGAUUAGGUAGUUGGUGGGAUAAAAGCUUACCAAGCCGACGAUCUGUAGCUGGUCUGAGAGGACGAUCAGCCACACUGGGACUGAGACACGGCCCAGACUCCUACGGGAGGCAGCAGUGGGGAAUUUUGGACAAUGGGCGCAAGCCUGAUCCAGCAAUGCCGCGUGCAGGAUGAAGGCCUUCGGGUUGUAAACUGCUUUUGUACGGAACGAAAAGCCCUGGGUUAAUACCCUGGGGUCAUGACGGUACCGUAAGAAUAAGCACCGGCUAACUACGUGCCAGCAGCCGCGGUAAUACGUAGGGUGCGAGCGUUAAUCGGAAUUACUGGGCGUAAAGCGUGCGCAGGCGGUUUUGUAAGACAGAGGUGAAAUCCCCGGGCUCAACCUGGGAACUGCCUUUGUGACUGCAAGGCUAGAGUACGGCAGAGGGGGAUGGAAUUCCGCGUGUAGCAGUGAAAUGCGUAGAUAUGCGGAGG
Molecule: ribosomal RNA, 596 nt
Filed under: uncultured bacterium
Lineage: Bacteria
Description: bacterial SSU rRNA
Rfam family: Bacterial small subunit ribosomal RNA
Source: RNAcentral